This is a non-coding RNA of Plectropomus leopardus (leopard coralgrouper), 332 nucleotides long. The record is from RefSeq and is a predicted model, not a curated record. NCBI's taxonomy places the organism in Eukaryota, Metazoa, Chordata, Actinopteri, Perciformes, Serranidae.
ACCGGAUCCUCAACCAGCCGCCAGCAGGAGGCGUCUCAACUCCUCCCGUCAAGUUCUGCAGACUGCACCCGGCCGAGCCGCUCAAACUCUACUGCUUCACCUGCAGGGAGCUCACCUGCAGAGACUGUCAGCUCACGGCUCACAUGAGCCACAGGUAUCAGUUUGUCAGUGAAGCGUUGGUCAGCCUGAGGAAGCAGCUGGACGUCUUGGUUCUGCCGAUCAGAGCGCGGAGAGACAAACUGAAACAGAAUCUGCUGGACAUGGAGACCAGGCUGCAGAACAUCACCUGGGGUAAAAAUAAUCUGAGGACUGAGCUGCAGCGGUCGUACAAA